This 209-nucleotide long non-coding RNA is filed under the name Lathyrus oleraceus (garden pea). Its description in RNAcentral is "Pisum sativum (pea) long non-coding RNA (PSAT_LNC019403)". Lineage: Eukaryota; Viridiplantae; Streptophyta; Magnoliopsida; Fabales; Fabaceae. The record is from RNAcentral.
UUUAUCCUUGAUAUGUUCAACCUAACCGGUGACGAAUAUCCUUCCUAAUGUCCCUAGGCAAGUCUAUCCUUGAUAUGUUCAUCCUAACUGAUGACAAAUUUUCUUUCCUCUGAGUCUAUCCUUGAUAUGUUAAGUUUAACCAGUGACAAAUAUUCUCUCUUUGGUCUUCUGCCCAGUAACCGGUAGUUGUAAACCCUAUUUUGGCUUUU